UUCUCUCUUCUCCCCGAACUGUCGCUCUUUCUCCCUCUCGCCUGCAACUCCGGCCUUCUUCCUCCUCCGGCCACCUGACGACGAAAAGCAAGUAUCUUUGGACUCGUCUCCGCUCCCUCUAGGUGCCUGUGGUGGUGUUUUGCGGUGGCUCGGCCCAAUGAGCUCGGAUUUGAGCUGUGAAGUUCACUGUAGCAAUCCGGAAGUUUCGUCGAUUUCCGGCGAUUCCGGCCAUCUCCGGCCACCAAACCGGGGUCGAAGGAGCGGUUUUUCCCAAGGAUCAUGUUGCCCCUAGCCUUGAGCCACGAUUUGCAGUGUGGAGGUCGAAUCGAAGGUUUGAAAUUCCGAGUUACUAUUCACAAUUCGGGUUCAAACUUCUCUUUAAUUGUUGAGGAUGUCGUACCGAGCCCUGGCUCGAUGAAGGAACUCGUAUACGUGAUCGUCGGAAUAGUACUUGUGCAGGAGAAAUUAGUUGAGGUCGGGCGUACAUGGAGUCGAGGCAUAGUCAACAGUAUGGCUUCCGCGAUUGCCUUGAAUUAGGUUUUCCUCAUUUACCUUUCUAUUAGAAUUGCUCUGAUUACCUGCGGAAUUAAGGUUAUUAAGUUGAGAUUUGUGUGUUGUGAAUUUGGUUGAUGUUGUUUGGGGGAGCAGGGUGGCUCCAGGAGAAUAAGGAUGGGUGAUUUAGAAGUAUAAAUUCUCUUUCUACAGGUUUUGGGUUGUCCACUUUAGGGGAAGUUCUGCCUAAUUUUUGGCAAAAUUUCUUCUAAGGUGGGCCCCGCAGGUCCACUUCGGAUUUCAGGGUGAAAUUCGGGGCGGGUCCUGUCAGUUGGUAUCAGAGCCUUAGGUUGUCAGAUUCUGUAGACUCAUUUCUAUCUUGUUACCUUAUACGCUUAAUGUUACACAGUACCUCCCGAGUGAUGGCCCGACUGCAGCGGUUCCCCAUCGUUUACUCUUCGAUGCUGAUGUACUCAUUAAGUGUGUAAGGUACAUGUUUAGAUGGUGUUCCUUUAGGUGUUAUGCCUCUUGUACGCCGACCUCCUAGGGUUUUCGUUGCGUAGCGGAUUAUUCGCAUGUUUUGCACAUUUCCCUGCUGAUGGUAGAGUAAGUCUACUCUACAAUUUCGAGUUGUGCUACGAUGUGUAAUUCGAGGAAAUGUUGUGGUUGUUUCUCCCUCGAUGAUAAUAAGUUUGUUGGGCAAGAUUUAAGGUGCGUGAACGGAGUUCGAUUAUGUGUUUGAGUGACCGUGAUGAGCGACGAUAGCUUUGGGUCGUCUU
Rosa rugosa (rugosa rose) is the source of this 1271-nucleotide long non-coding RNA. RefSeq lists it as uncharacterized. The transcript is spliced from 3 exons. The record is from RefSeq and is a predicted model, not a curated record. NCBI's taxonomy places the organism in Eukaryota, Viridiplantae, Streptophyta, Magnoliopsida, Rosales, Rosaceae.